CGUGAAUCGAGGGUGUAGUCCUUCGAUAAUACAAACGAGUAUCUGCCCUAUCAACUUUCAACCGUAGUGUAGUGGACUACGGUGGUUAUAAUGGGUACGGGGAAUUAGGGUUCGAUUCCGGAGAGGCCGCCUGAGAAACGGCGACCACUUCCAAGGAAGGCAGCAGGCGCGUAAAUUAUCCAAUCACAAUUCGUGGAGAUAGUGACAAGAAAUACUGGUGCAGGCCCUUUGAGGGCUUGCGAUCGGAAUGAGAACAAUUUAAAAACCUUAGCGAGUAACAAUUGGAGGGCAAGUCUGGUGCCAGCAGCCGCAGUAAUUCCAGCUCCAAGAGUGUAUAUUAAAGUUGUUGCGGUUAAAAAGCUCGUAGUUGAACUGAGGAUUUAGGGUGGUUUUGGUACCACUGGGCAAUGCCCUGUGGAGUUAUACUGGCCAUUCUAGGUUUAUCUUUUAACGUAAAAGAUAGGGGCUACGGCCUUUGUCUGUUAAGAGGGUUUACUUUGAAUUAAUUUGGGUGUUUAAAGCAGACUACUGUUUGAAAAUAUUAGCAUGGGAUAAUGAAAGAUGACUUGAGUCAUUGUUUGUUGGUUUCUAAGGCUUAAGUAAUGAUUGAUAGGGGCAGUUGGGGUCGCUCGUAUUCAAUGGCGAGAGGUGAAAUUCUAUGACCCAUUGAGGACGAACUAAUGCGAAGGCAUUCGACAAGGAUGUUUUCAUUAAUCAAACGAAAGUUGUGGGAGCGAAGAUGAUCAGAUACCGUCGUAGUCACAACUGUAAACUAUGUCGACUCAGGAUCAGUGGGUGUUACAUGGAUGACCUCACUGGCACUGAAUGCGAAAGCAAAGUAUCCAGACUCCGGGGGGAGUAUGGUCGCAAGGCUGAAACUUAAAGGAAUUGACGGAAGGGCACCACCAGGAGUGGAACCUGCGGCUUAAUUUGACCCAACACGGGGAAACUUACCCAGUCCAGACGCAACGAGGAUUGACAGAUUGAUAGCUCUUUCUUGAUUUUGUGGAAGCCGGUGCAUGGCCGUUUUUAGUUGGUGGAGUGAUUUGUCUGGUUAAGUCCGAUAACGAACGAGACCUUCUUCUAUUAAAUAGUGCACGAUACAUGGGGCUUUGUGUGUGUUCGGCACUUCGGUGUUGGGCAUAUUUGCAGGGUCCCGUCAAUUGUAACGACAGUACUUCUUAGAGAGACUAGUGGGAACCUUAAAAACCACGGGAAGAUGGAGGCAAAAACAGGUCUGUGAUGCCGCUCGAUGUCUGGGGCUGCACGCGCGUUACAAUGGCGUGUUCAACGAGUAUUAAAAACCAGGCCCGAAGGGGUCUAGGCAAUCUCAAAAUCACGUCGUGAUGGGGAUUGUGCAUUGCAACUAUCGCACAUGAACGAGGAAUUCCUAGUAAGUACAGGUCAUCAACCUGUGCUGAUUACGUCCCUGCCCUUUGUACACACCGCCCGUCGCUUCUACCGAUUGAACUACUCGGUGAGGACUCGGGACUGGGAACCUUGCUUCGGUUUGGUUUCUGGGAUCCUGUUCGAACCUCGUAGUUUAGAGGAAGAAGAAGUCGCAACAAGGUA
RNAcentral lists this ribosomal RNA (1572 nucleotides) under metagenome. RNAcentral describes it as "SSU rRNA". It matches the Rfam family "Eukaryotic small subunit ribosomal RNA", at positions 260 to 1801 of the family's 1831-position model. The record is from RNAcentral.